GGCAUUCUGGCCGAGUGGUCUAAGGCGCCAGGUUCAGGUGACUGAAUCAAUAUCCUGGUCUCUCCGGAGGCGAGAGUUCGAAUCUCUCGGAUGUCA
Yarrowia lipolytica is the source of this 96-nucleotide transfer RNA. It matches the Rfam family "tRNA". From Rfam's summary of the family: Transfer RNA (tRNA) molecules are approximately 80 nucleotides in length. Their secondary structure includes four short double-helical elements and three loops (D, anti-codon, and T loops). Further hydrogen bonds mediate the characteristic L-shaped molecular structure. tRNAs have two regions of fundamental functional importance: the anti-codon, which is responsible for specific mRNA codon recognition, and the 3' end, to which the tRNAs corresponding amino acid is attached (by aminoacyl-tRNA synthetases). tRNAs cope with the degeneracy of the genetic code in two manners: having more than one tRNA (with a specific anti-codon) for a particular amino acid; and 'wobble' base-pairing, i.e. permitting non-standard base-pairing at the 3rd anti-codon position. The record is from Rfam. NCBI's taxonomy places the organism in Eukaryota, Fungi, Ascomycota, Dipodascomycetes, Dipodascales.